Hippoglossus stenolepis (Pacific halibut) is the source of this 1382-nucleotide long non-coding RNA. RefSeq lists it as uncharacterized. The transcript has 2 exons. Lineage: Eukaryota; Metazoa; Chordata; Actinopteri; Pleuronectiformes; Pleuronectidae. The record is from RefSeq and is a predicted model, not a curated record.
CAUUCACCCACAUGGUUACCAACUGGUCGCCUUCGCGCCACUUUCCUAACCCCGCAAUCGUCUCCAGCGGCGGCGCCUGGCUCCGGAUCCAACCCGGGUCGCCUCGGAUCUCACCCCGCGUGUCGUUUUUGUCCGCCGGUAGAAAAGUUUUCGGCACAGUUCGCUGUUUAUCCCGCUCUCUGUUUGUCGCGGAGAGACCACACGGCAGCCCGAGCAAGUGAGCGAAGAUGGUGGAUUUCGGCUGAUCCACCAUGCAGUCCCGGACCUCUUCCCUCUUCUGAUCAGAGCAGUGUGACCAUCCUCUCCUGUGGUGCUGGAGGGCAGUGAUGCUGUAAUCAGUCUGUGUAUUGUCAAAGUGCUUACAGUGCAGGUAGUACUAUGCAAUACCUACUGCAGUGGAGGCACUUACAGCAAUACCCCGACACUGGUGUGCAGAGUCUCCGGUGUUAUUGUCAUUUGACGUACUGUCUUUGUGCUAAGGUGCAUCUAGUGCAGAUAGUGAAAUAGACUAGCACCUACUGCCCUAAGUGCUCCUUCUGGCAUAAGGGGCUGUGAUCAUGCGCCAACCAGACUCAUUUCUAAUUUCUAAUUUGGCUCAAAUAUCUCGCAGUUCUCUGCUAGUUUUGCAUAGUUGCACUACAAGAAUAGAUGAGUUGUGCAAAUCUAUGCAAAACUGAUGGUGGCCUGCUUGCUCUCCACCUGUUAAGAUGUUUGGUUUCGGGGGGUUGUCACAUCAAACACAAUCUGACUGUACAAUACGCUGUGUAAUGCUGUUUUUAAAAAAAAAAACAGGAGUACUUGACAGUUCUUGCCCCCUGACUUCAGUUUCAGCAGUACUAAAGUGCUUAUAGUGCAGGUAGUGAUUUCUCCCUAUCUACUGCAAUGUAAGCACUUGAAGUACUUCUAACUAACUGCAUCUCUCUGAAGAUUGGACGUCUAUUUUUUGUCCAAAACUCAUCUGUUGAUCACCACCUGGUCAGUUUUGCUGGUUUGCAUUCAGCUUUAACUAAUGUUCGCUGUGCAAAUCCAUGCAAAACUGACUGGGAUGGUGAACUGUGCUUCACCAAAGGAUUUCUUUUAAUCAAGAAUAUUUUUGCUGCAUGGUGGGUAUUUGCAUGUUCUUGGAUGUGUACUGUUUGGGUAUGCGUAGCUGUCCCUUCCUGUGCAGGUGGGGAUUAGUAGCAAUGCUGUGUACCUGGAGGUAUUGCACUUGUCCCGGCCUGUGUAGGAACGAGGAGAUGGAGCUGACCCGGAUCCUGACCUGAAUAUCCAGAAACCUGUUGUGUCCUGUUACAUGUCCUGUAAUGUUUUGGUCGGUAAAAUGUAUGUUUUCAAUUGUAUGUAAUUUUGCUGGUAAAAGAUUAAAAGUUUUUCUGCCAAUU